RNAcentral lists this ribosomal RNA (859 nucleotides) under Xylodon sp. RNAcentral's name for it is "partial large subunit ribosomal RNA". It matches the Rfam family "Eukaryotic large subunit ribosomal RNA", at positions 66 to 915 of the family's 3401-position model. Lineage: Eukaryota; Fungi; Basidiomycota; Agaricomycetes; Hymenochaetales; Schizoporaceae. The record is from RNAcentral.
UAACAAGGAUUCCCCUAGUAACUGCGAGUGAAGCGGGAAAAGCUCAAAUUUAAAAUCUGACAGUCUCAUUGUCCGAGUUGUAAUCUGGAGAAGCAUUUUCCGUGUCGGACCGUGUACAAGUCUCUUGGAACAGAGCGUCAUAGAGGGUGAGAAUCCCGUCCAUGACACGGACUACCGAUGCUUUGUGAUAUGCUCUCGAAGAGUCGAGUUGUUUGGGAAUGCAGCUCAAAAUGGGUGGUAAAUUCCAUCUAAAGCUAAAUAUUGGCGAGAGACCGAUAGCGAACAAGUACCGUGAGGGAAAGAUGAAAAGCACUUUGGAAAGAGAGUUAAACAGUACGUGAAAUUGUUGAAAGGGAAACGCUUGAAGUCAGUCGCGUUGUCUGAGACUCAGCCUUGCUUGCAUGGUGUAUUUCUCAGUUAACGGGUCAACAUCAAUUUUGGUUGGUGGAUAAAGGUAGAGGAAAUGUGGCACCUUCGGGUGUGUUAUAGUCCUUUGCUGCAUACACUGACUGGGAUUGAGGAACGCAGCACGCCACUAUGGCCGGAGGUUCGCCUCACGUAACGUGCUUAGGAUGUUGGCAUAAUGGCUUUAAGCGACCCGUCUUGAAACACGGACCAAGGAGUCUAACAUGCUUGCGAGUGUUAGGGUGGAAAACCCUUGCGCGUAAUUAACGUGAAAGUUGGGACCCUUCGCGGGGGCACCGACGCCCGGCCCUGAAGUUUACUGACGGCGCUGCGGUAGAGCACGUAUGUUGGGACCCGAAAGAUGGUGAACUAUGCCUGAAUAGGGUGAAGCCAGGGGAAACUCUGGUGGAGGCUCGUAGCGAUUCUGACGUGCAAAUCGAUCGUCAAAUUUGGG